RNAcentral lists this long non-coding RNA (749 nucleotides) under Homo sapiens (human). Its description in RNAcentral is "non-protein coding DLGAP4-AS1:3". Lineage: Eukaryota; Metazoa; Chordata; Mammalia; Primates; Hominidae. The record is from RNAcentral.
GUGCUCCUUGCCGGGGUGGGGGUCGUUACCGAGUGGGAACUUCUGCAAAUCCUGACUUUUGUCACUUCGCGCCCCGCACAAGAUGUCCUGCCGGCGGUGCGAUUGGUCCCGUUGCUUCGAGGGGAAACUGAGGCCACUUAGUCCGGGCACUUACCCGCAGCUAGUUAAGGACUAGGCUCUGAUGGAGACGCUUGUUACGACCUCAAUGGCCUGUAGAAUCUGGGAGGCCGCCUCCGACCUAAGCCCAAAAAGCACAUGAUCGGGCUCACAGGGGGCGGCCAGAGGUGAAAACAGCCAACGCUUUACAACGACGCUGUGCGGGGCACUUCGUGUGUGUCAUCCCGUCUCAUCCUCGGGUGAUAGGAACUGUUCAUUCGGGAAAAUUGCAAACAACUAAAUACCCCUCACCAGGAGCUGGCCCAUUAUAGCAACUCUGAGACCUCUCUACCGCAGGCUCUUAAAAUGGGUUUUCAUCCCAACAGAAUUUUUCUGAGGAACUUGAUAUACAAAUUCUAUAAUUUAUAUUGGAAGAAUGAAGAUACAAGAAUAGUUUUUCUUUCUGCACAAAAAGGAUAAAGAAGGAGCACUCACCAGAUACCAAGGCGUGCUACAAAGCCAUGUGAUUCUGUCCAAGCUUAACAGUGGAUGUAACUGCUUCUUUGCUGUGGCAGAUUGUAUUUUCUGAAGGCCCCAACAGUCUCUCCUGUCCCUCCUCCUCUUCUGAAACCUUGAUACUUCCCUAUGAAGAG